CGGAGUGUAGCUCAGCUUGGCUAGAGCACUUGCUUUGGGAGCAAGGGGUCGUGAGUUCGAAUCUCGCCACUCCGAC
Molecule: transfer RNA, 76 nt
Filed under: Sedimentisphaera salicampi
Lineage: Bacteria; Pseudomonadati; Planctomycetota; Phycisphaerae; Sedimentisphaerales; Sedimentisphaeraceae
Description: tRNA-Pro
Rfam family: tRNA
About the family: Transfer RNA (tRNA) molecules are approximately 80 nucleotides in length. Their secondary structure includes four short double-helical elements and three loops (D, anti-codon, and T loops).
Source: RNAcentral